ACUGCUCAGUAACACGUGGAUAACCUGCCCUUGGGUCCGGCAUAACCCCGGGAAACUGGGGAUAAUUCCGGAUAACGCAUAUGUGCUGGAAUGCUUUAUGCGUCAAAUGGAUUCGUCUGCCCAAGGAUGGGUCUGCGGCCUAUCAGGUAGUAGUGGGUGUAAUGUACCUACUAGCCGACAACGGGUACGGGUUGUGAGAGCAAGAGCCCGGAGAUGGAUUCUGAGACAUGAAUCCAGGCCCUACGGGGCGCAGCAGGCGCGAAAACUUUACAAUGCGGGAAACCGUGAUAAGGGGACACCGAGUGUCAGCAUCAUAUGCUGGCUGUCCAGGUGUGUAAAAUACACCUGUUAGCAAGGGCCGGGCAAGACCGGUGCCAGCCGCCGCGGUAACACCGGCGGCCCGAGUGGUGAUCGUGAUUAUUGGGUCUAAAGGGUCCGUAGCCGGUUUGGUCAGUCCUCCGGGAAAUCUGAUAGCUCAACUAUUAGGCCAUCGGGGGAUACUGCCAGACUUGGAACCGGGAGAGGUAAGAGGUACUACAGGGGUAGGAGUGAAAUCUUGUAAUCCCUGUGGGACCACCUGUGGCGAAGGCGUCUUACCAGAACGGGUUCGACGGUGAGGGACGAAAGCUGGGGGCACGAACCGGAUUAGAUACCCGGGUAGUCCCAGCCGUAAACGAUGCUCGCUAGGUGUCAGGCAUGGCGCGACCGUGUCUGGUGCCGCAGGGAAGCCGUGAAGCGAGCCACCUGGGAAGUACGGCCGCAAGGCUGAAACUUAAAGGAAUUGGCGGGGGAGCAC
Molecule: ribosomal RNA, 796 nt
Filed under: uncultured archaeon
Lineage: Archaea
Description: bacterial SSU rRNA
Rfam family: Archaeal small subunit ribosomal RNA
Source: RNAcentral